GAUGAACGCUGGCGGCGUGCCUAAUACAUGCAAGUCGAGCGAACGGACGAGAAGCUUGCUUCUCUGAUGUUAGCGGCGGACGGGUGAGUAACACGUGGAUAACCUACCUAUAAGACUGGGAUAACUUCGGGAAACCGGAGCUAAUACCGGAUAAUAUUAUGAACCGCAUGGUUCAAAAGUGAAAGACGGUCUUGCUGUCACUUAUAGAUGGAUCCGCGCUGCAUUAGCUAGUUGGUAAGGUAACGGCUUACCAAGGCAACGAUGCAUAGCCGACCUGAGAGGGUGAUCGGCCACACUGGAACUGAGACACGGUCCAGACUCCUACGGGAGGCAGCAGUAGGGAAUCUUCCGCAAUGGGCGAAAGUCUGACGGAGCAACGCCGCGUGAGUGAUGAAGGUCUUCGGAUCGUAAAACUCUGUUAUUAGGGAAGAACAUAUGUGUAAGUAACUGUGCACAUCUUGACGGUACCUAAUCAGAAAGCCACGGCUAACUACGUG
Molecule: ribosomal RNA, 497 nt
Filed under: uncultured bacterium
Lineage: Bacteria
Description: partial 16S ribosomal RNA
Rfam family: Bacterial small subunit ribosomal RNA
Source: RNAcentral